RNAcentral lists this ribosomal RNA (587 nucleotides) under uncultured Cladosporium. RNAcentral's name for it is "eukaryotic LSU rRNA". The stretch from base 224 to 377 matches the Rfam family "5.8S ribosomal RNA". Lineage: Eukaryota; Fungi; Ascomycota; Dothideomycetes; Cladosporiales; Cladosporiaceae. The record is from RNAcentral.
CUUGGUCAUUUAGAGGAAGUAAAAGUCGUAACAAGGUCUCCGUAGGUGAACCUGCGGAGGGAUCAUUACAAGUGACCCCGGUUUACCACCGGGAUGUUCAUAACCCUUUGUUGUCCGACUCUGUUGCCUCCGGGGCGACCCUGCCUUCGGGCGGGGGCUCCGGGUGGACACUUCAAACUCUUGCGUAACUUUGCAGUCUGAGUAAACUUAAUUAAUAAAUUAAAACUUUUAACAACGGAUCUCUUGGUUCUGGCAUCGACGAAGAACGCAGCGAAAUGCGAUAAGUAAUGUGAAUUGCAGAAUUCAGUGAAUCAUCGAAUCUUUGAGCGCACAUUGCGCCCCCUGGUAUUCCGGGGGGCAUGCCUGUUCGAGCGUCAUUUCACCACUCAAGCCUCGCUUGGUAUUGGGCAACGCGGUACGCCGCGUGCCUCAAAUCGACCGGCUGGGUCUUCUGUCCCCUAAGCGUUGUGGAAACUAUUCGCUAAAGGGUGCUCGGGAGGCUACGCCGUAAAACAACCCAUUUCUAAGGUUGACCUCGGAUCAGGUAGGGAUACCCGCUGAACUUAAGCAUAUCAAUAAGCGGAGGA